Long non-coding RNA from Lates calcarifer (barramundi perch), 782 nucleotides. RefSeq lists it as uncharacterized. Lineage: Eukaryota; Metazoa; Chordata; Actinopteri; Centropomidae. The transcript has 5 exons. The record is from RefSeq and is a predicted model, not a curated record.
AGGGAAGCGUGCGCGAGGACUUUUCUCGCCUGCAAAUAACCGUUCUCCUGCAUGCAAAUAACCGUUGGUCUAGCUCUUGGCCCGUGACAGUGCGUGUGUGAUGCCCCCUUAAUUUGGCAUCCUAUUCAUUCUCCCUCCCCCAUAUCAACACAUAUCGACCAAGAGACGCGGUGGAGGAAACUAAUAACGGGGUGGUGGUGCUGGUUGAUGGUGAUGGUGCUGGUUGAGGAUUGGGGGGGGGUGAAGCGCAGCCUCAGCAAGCCCCCUUUUUUUUAUGACCCGCCGGCAAGGUAAUCAGAUCAAUUUCACGGCUUGUAUGGGAUUCUGCCUACACCACCAACCUGAGCGAGAAUCCGGUGUUCAGCAUCAUCAGCAGCCGGUGACGACGUCCAACAAGAAGAUGAAGAUGAACCGGCCUUUCUGAUCAAAGCGCCCCCGUCUAUAAAGCUCAAGGCUGGCCUUCCUUAGGCGGUUGAGGGUGUGAGAAGCUGGUGGGUCUGGAGCACAAGGUCUUCUUCUGUAUGGACAGUGAUCUCUGGCUGAAUCCCAGGUGACCACACAUGAGAGAGCCGUGUCUGAUGGGACCGUCAUGGAACAGGGAUUUGCAUGAUAAAGCUCCCACGCUGCAAAGCAUGAUGGGGAUAAUCUGCACCUGUGAGCUGGAGAUGAGGGAUGGAAUUGACGUUACACCAGACAGGAGCCGUGCUGACUGCCUCCACAUCCAGGACUCGAACCAGGAAACACUUCAGUUCACAGAGAGAAGACAUUAAGAUUUCUAGAAG